AUAAAAUGUGUAACCUUAAAGAGAAGGGUUUAUUUCAAAAGGAUAUUAUCCGAUUUGUAAGUUAUCUGAUGCUUAUCUGACUCCUAAGUUUAAAACUUGAAAAACCAUGUCUUGAAGAUUUUUCUUACAGAGUAGCUGCUUGUCUUCCUAUUGAUGAUGUAUUGAGAAUUCAGCUCCUUAAAAUUGGCAGUGCUAUCCAACGACUUCGCUGUGAAUUAGACAUUAUGAAUAAAUGUACUUCCCUUUGCUGUAAACAAUGUCAAGAAACAGAAAUAACAACCAAAAAUGAAAUAUUCAGUUUAUCCUUAUGUGGGCCGAUGGCAGCUUAUGUGAAUCCUCAUGGAUAUGUGCAUGAGACACUUACUGUGUAUAAGGCUUGCAACUUGAAUCUGAUAGGCCGGCCUUCUACAGAACACAGCUGGUUUCCUGGGUAUGCCUGGACUGUUGCCCAGUGUAAGAUCUGUGCAAGCCAUAUUGGAUGGAAGUUU
This 488-nucleotide small RNA is filed under the name Pan troglodytes (chimpanzee). RNAcentral's name for it is "retained intron". The record is from RNAcentral. Lineage: Eukaryota; Metazoa; Chordata; Mammalia; Primates; Hominidae.